Long non-coding RNA from Micropterus dolomieu (smallmouth bass), 1515 nucleotides. RefSeq lists it as uncharacterized. NCBI's taxonomy places the organism in Eukaryota, Metazoa, Chordata, Actinopteri, Centrarchiformes, Centrarchidae. The transcript has 3 exons. The record is from RefSeq and is a predicted model, not a curated record.
CCACAUUAAACACCCUGCAAACCACCUAUCAACCUUCAUGACCACUGCAAAGUAGAGCCCGACCGAUCUAUCGGCCGAUAUGAGCUAAUUGCAUUUAAUCGGCAUAGGCCAUUUAUAACGGCAGAUAUAUGACAAUUAAAAAAAACAAAAAGUCAGAUCCUUCGCCCAUGUCAUGGGUGUUGCAUAGUUUGCCCACCAGAGGGCGAGCUUCAGCUCCCCUGUUAACAACACUGCCUCACCACAAAAAGAAAACACAGAAGAAAACAAUCAGCAUACCGAAGUUUACCAGAGCUUAGUGCAGCAUGUACCAAACAUGGAGAGGGCUGUGUUAGCGUUCACAGCAGGUUGAUGCCACGGUAGCUGGGUGUUGGAAGCUACGCUGCUGGCAGACGUAACUGGAGAUUUAUUCUGAAACAAUAGCUGAAAAAGUUGCAUGUUCCAGCAACAAAUAUUUAUUGAUGUGCAAUUGUUUACAUGUUCACUUUUUGAGACAGUAAUCUAUUUUAUUAACAUAAUCCAUUUAGGAAAAGGUUUUAUAGCCCACAUACAUACCAGCUUUCAAUAUCGGCAGUGUAGUUUAUACAGUAAAGGGGUCUACUAGCCAAAUCAUUCUCUAAAUCUAAAUAUCGGCUCUUUUUCACUUUAACAUCAGCAUUGGCCCCCAAAAACCCAUAUCAGUCGGGCUCUACUGCAAAGGGAAUUUAACAAUAUACUUUUCAGCAGUUUAAUAGUGAACACCUAGUAACACCUUUGCAACCUUUUAGCAACAUAUCAAAACAAACAAAACCUAUUCCUGAUAAAUAUUUCUUAAGCAGGAUACAAAUUUCCUUACAAAACAUUUUCUAGCUAACAAUAGAAGCUGUCCGGUAAGGUAUGUGGCAAAAUGUUCCUGUGACCGUGCAAUGAUCAUCAUGACCGAGAUGGAGAAGUACUUCUGAGGCACUAGAAAUGUAAAUUUGACCAUCAAAGAUGAUGACAGUUCGUGGGAGUUUUGUUAAACUUUGGAGAGUAUAUAUUAUAGCAGAAAUGAAGGGUGACACGGGAGUGUGAUGUGUGUUUUGUGGGGAUAGAGGGGAGGGUGAAGAAAUAGAUUUAAAAGGCUAUACACCUCAUACUGCAGAUUAAAAUACAUACACAUAUACAGUAUAGGGAAAAGUUUUGGGGAAGAACUGUGAGAAAGGCUCCUUUUAGUUCUCCCAGUUAUACAGUGGGGGAAAAAAUUAUUUGAUCCCUGCUGAUUUUGUACGUUUGCCCACUGACAAAUAAAUUAUCAGUCUAUAAUUUUAGUGGUAGGUUUAUUUGAACAGUGAGUGACAGAAUAACAACCAAAAAAAUCUGAAAAACGCAUGUCAAAAAUGUUAUAAAUUGAUUUGCAUUUUAUGUAAUGUAUGUAAAGGAUUCACUUUUAUGCGCCUUUGUCAAGAAAUCUGUCCAGGUGAUCCUGUAGAAUGAUAAUAUUAAAAUAAAUAUGGUCAUCAAAUGCCAUUAAAAUAAAAGUUACAAUCUACAACUUAA